UACGUAGGUGACAAGCGUUGUCCGGAUUUACUGGGCGUAAAGAGCGCGCAGGCGGUCGUUCAAGUCGAGUGUGAAAGCCCCCGGCUCAACUGGGGAGGGUCACUCGAUACUGAUCGACUCGAAGGCAGGAGAGGGUAGUGGAAUUCCCGGUGUAGUGGUGAAAUGCGUAGAUAUCGGGAGGAACACCAGUGGCGAAGGCGACUACCUGGCCUGUUCUUGACGCUGAGGCGCGAAAGCGUGGGGAGCGAUCCGG
Molecule: ribosomal RNA, 253 nt
Filed under: uncultured bacterium
Lineage: Bacteria
Description: partial 16S ribosomal RNA
Rfam family: Bacterial small subunit ribosomal RNA
Source: RNAcentral